CUACGGGGUGCUGCAGUGAGGAAUAUUGCACAAUGGGGGGAACCCUGAUGCAGCAACGCCGCGUGGAGGAUGACGCAUUUCGGUGUGUAAACUCCUUUUAUAUGUCAAGAAAAUGACGGUAGCAUAUGAAUAAGCACCGGCUAACUCCGUGCCAGCAGCCGCGGUAAUACGGAGGGUGCAAGCGUUCCGCGGAAUCACUGGGCGUAAAGGACGCGUAGGCGGGUUGGAAAGUCAGGUGUGAAAUCCUACAGCUUAACUGUAGAACUGCACUUGAAACUUCUAAUCUAGAGUAUGGGAGGGGAGAUGGAAUUAGUGGUGUAGGGGUAAAAUCCGUAGAUAUCACUAGGAAUACCUAAAGCGAAGGCGAUCUCCUGGAACAUUACUGACGCUAAGGCGUGAAAGCGUGGGGAGCAAACAGGAUUAGAUACCCUCGUAGUC
Molecule: ribosomal RNA, 438 nt
Filed under: uncultured bacterium
Lineage: Bacteria
Description: partial 16S ribosomal RNA
Rfam family: Bacterial small subunit ribosomal RNA
Source: RNAcentral